AUGGCUGGAAAUGCAUUUUUAUUAUCUGAGAGUUGAAAAGCCCAUUACAAUUUCCCCUACUUUGUGCCAGCCUAAGGAAAAAAUAACUUGCUUUACAAAUAAGGCCACAAAUGAAUCAAGUCAUAGUCAGAUUCACUAAAAUCUAGGUAAGUGACAGUUGCAUUUAAUCUGGGACAAUCUGAAGGUAAAUUAGCACUACAGAGUAUACCCAGUAACAAAGAAAUUAGGAUUUAACUUUUCAACCAAAUAGAUACAUGCAUCAAAAAUCUCCUUUGAGUAGUUUGGCAAUAUGCACAAGAUACUGGCAGUAUUUUGAAUUCCACAUUGGUAAAAAGGAAAAGGCUAAGCCCGGAGCUGAAAGUUCAAGCAAAAUGGAGUUUGAAGAGAAAACAGUUUUUUUCUUUAACUACUGGCAUGCUGAUAUUUGGCACAUCAGUUGCUGCUUACAAUAAAUACACGGUGAGUAGGGAAGGACACAGGCUGCUUAGUUAAAUUCUAUCUACAGCAAAUCUGCAAGGCUAUGAACGAAAAGUGAUUUCACCAAAUCCCAUUUGGCUGUAAAAUUGAACAAACAAAAAUGCCAACUCUGUUAAGUCACAUUGCAUGGCUUGUUCGAGAAAAGCACUUGGAGAAGAGACAAUUUCCUUAAAUUCCUCAUAUAAAUAAUUUUUUAAAAAAAAUAACAAAAAAAAAUCCAACACAAUUUUAGAAUUAUAGAAGUUCUGAUCUUGUUUGCUUAUAAAAGUAAUUUCAGCUUAAAGAGAACAUAUUUUAACUUAAAAUUUUAAAGUCCAGAUAGGAGGACUAGAGCAUUUUGAACAGGAGAGGCAAAGCUAAUCUAUUUCUAUUAAUUUUUGCUUAUUUUGGGGGUUUUCUUUGUUUGUUUUGGGUUCUUUUUUUAAGCUACCUAUAACACUUAUCUAUGGGAUUUUUAGAUCACGCAGCACAUUUGUCCUGGUACCAGCUAUGACAGAAUUAAAUGUCUUCAUCAAAGCUAGAAUGGGGUUUUGUAAUUGGGAGGAAAACAUUUUUUAUAUCAGAGGAAUGUUGCAGAAAUUGCUGAGCAGAGCUUACACAAUGUCAAGGCUUUCUGUCCUGUCAACGACUAGGCUGGAAAUGCACAAGAUAUUGGGACAACUGACCCCAGCUGACCAAAGGAUUAUUCUAUACCAUAUGGUGUCAUGCUCAGCAAUCAAACGGGCAGGGUUGGAGUCUGGCUAGAGCUGCCAUUGCUCAGGAAUGUUUGGAGUGAUGGCAUUUUUUUUCCUCAAUAACCAUUGACGUGAUGGAGCUCUGCUUUUGUGGAGAUGUCUGAGCACCUGCCUGAUAAUAGGAAGCAGUGAAUGAAAUCCUUACUUUCCUUUGCUUGCACAUGCAGAUUUUGCUAUAGCUAUUAAACUGUCUUUAUCUCAACCCACACACUUUUUCAUUUUUGUCCUUCCAAUUCUCUCCCGCAUUCCACUGUCCUGUUGGGCUGGUGAGCAAGUGGCUGCAUGUGGCCCAGUGCUCAGCUGCCCCCUGGGGCUAAAUCACAACAAUAACCUUAAUACUCAUUCAGAUGAGGCAAUGACUUCACUCAGAUAAUUGUGACAUUUCAAAAAAACUCUUGAAGUGCUUUUCACAAGUUAAUAUUAGUCAUACGAAUACACAUCAAUGAAGACGGAAAAGAAAGAACAUGAAAUGGGAUAUUAAUAUCAGCACAGUUUUAGGAUGAUGAUCUCUCAGGAUGUAGCAGCAGCAUGAAACCACUGUAGUAAGGUUCUUUAGGCUACACAGAAAGAGAAGCAAUCCUGUUACAACACUGACUUUCCACUUCUGUUUUCCACGCUAGAAUGUGCUAUUCUGGUUUAGGACUGGCACCUCAUAGUAGCAGAGGAACAGCUCCUUCUCUCUAGUAAGCCCACUUUUACCAAAACAUUUUCCCUUUGGGUUUGUGAUCUCAGAUAGUAUCAGAAGGAAGAAAUAUGUGGAGGGAGGCUACAAAUCCACAAAAUCAUUACAAGGUAUGAACCACCAACAGCAUGUUUGUAACUAAUUUACGUACCAAGAACAAAAAUCACAGCAGCUCUUACAUGGAUCAAUAAGUCAUCAGAAGGCACAGUGUCUUUUUUUUUUCUAGGAAAGAAUUUCCUAGAACUUCUUCUUGGGAAAUUUUGCCCUUGGACAUUUUAAGGAAAUAGCAUUCCAGAUUUCUUACUCCUGGUCCUUUGAAUAUUGCUGAAAUUCAACAUUUAAGGUAAGGAAUUUCACUCCUUUAACCCAUUCAUGCACUUCAGAACACAAGCAGAAUAUUUUACCUAUCUUUCCCCACAAAUACAGCAUUCAAAUUUUCACAAGGUUUCAGAAUAUAUGCAGAAUUAAAAAUAAUUUUCUUUAUUUUAUAUUGUUAAAAAUCUUUUGAUAUCUAUAGAAUUUAUAUUCUAGAUUAUGUAGCAGAUAUCUUACAGAACAGGUUCACAGACCUGCUACACUCCUGCCCUGAGAUUUUGCUGCUACUAAUUAUGGCAUGGUGUGAUACAUGAAAUAUCAGGGUAUUUUUUAAACUGCAUUAUGAUUUCUUUCCUGUAUGUCAUCAUUAACAGUCAUUCAUAUGAUAUCAUUACAAAAAGAUGUCAUUUUAAAGAAAAGUUGCUAAAGGAAAAAAAAAAAACCCAACAUUUUCCUUUGUAUGGACCGCAGUUGACAAAGGAUAUCUAUACCCAAAUACAUUCUCAGAAAACAAUCACUUCUACUCUAGAGAGGUACAAGUACAAAUUUCAGCCUUAAAAGAAAGUCCUUUUCCAGUCUCUGCUUUCACUGUUUAAAGUUUUUCGUUUACUUCAUCAUGUGCAUACACCAACACAUAUUGAUAAAAGGUUCAACAAACUUCUCAGUUUGAAAAGAACAGACUACUAAAAUAGCAAGAGACAUGUAACUAAAAAUAGAAAUGUAUUGGCCUAUUAAAAGGUCCUGUGGCAAAUUACACUAACAGAAAAAACUGUCAAUAUUACAACAGCAGCAGCAUUUUACUAAAGCAUUGAUGUUAGUUAAGUUUUCUUACCAAAGAAAAGCUAAGAAAAAGGCAGCUUGUGCCUUUAACAUUAAAAAGACUAAAUUAAUAGAAUUUACACUGCUUCUUUCUCCAAAAACCACAGCAAAAUAGAAAAAUUUACAGGUUUGGGUAUAACAAACUGAAUCCUUCCCAAAACUCACACAAGAGAAUAUAGAACAAACUGCCCUGCUGUCAAUUUCAUCAUUAGAUACUAAUUAGAAUAUUUUGGAGAUUUUCUGAGCUGGAUAUACUAAUCUACUGAUGUUCACAAGUCAUUCACAGUUUCACAUCACUGGAACAUUCAAAAUUGUCCCAAUGAUUCAAUCUGCUAACGAAAGGGUUACCUGCCCAUGAUGGUAGUGGUGUUUUGAGGUAGAUGAUUUUUACAAUUUCUUUGAAUCUUCUAUUAUUUUAUGAAAAUUAAAUAUUGUCUAAUAGGUAAAAGAGCACCCAUGACUAAACCACAGAGAUUAACUGGCAAUUGUUGAAGAUUCAGGAGACUACUCACACUGAAUAUCAGAGAAUCAUUAUGCAUACAAGUUGCAUAAAGUUGGUAUUUUCUUGCCAAUUUAGCUUCCUACCGAGAACUUGAAAUAUUUGCCUCAGAUUAUUCAUUGGAUUGUUCAUCCAUUCCCAGACUCAUCAUUGUAUCAGUUUGUUGAGAGAACUGCACAGCCAUUAAACAGACUCAUGGACAACAAGUAGGAAGCAGUUCAAGCAAUGACCAAAUGUCAAGCAAAAUUUUACUCUUGAGUGCAGAAAAGUUACUCUGGUCUUUGAGGGAGGGAAACAAGCAAAACCCAAAAAACAUUAGCUUGACUCCAGAAGUCCAUUACCUUCACUGGGGUCCAUGUUAACUGGAAAAAGUGACAGUGUUGGGAAAAUCACCUUGGCAAACUCACAAAAUCAUACUAAGUUGAUAAAGGAAUUUUUUUUUUUCAAAUUUUUUGUUUAUUUUAUAUAGCCAAAAGUACUGAAUCAUAAAAAAAAAAAAAACACCAAAACAAACGAAAUAAAAAAAUCAAACGCAAAACAAAAACCAACCAAAACAAGACAAUCCCAUGCCACAUAACAGAUACACAAGAAGAACAAGACCUGCAAGAGGUGAAAAAGCCAGAAAAUUUCUUCAAAGGCUAUACACCAUGGAAGUGCAUCACUGCUUUCUGCUGUUGAUGUCAAAAGGGAUUUAAAAAGAAGCUUUGGGAAGGUGCAUAAGGGAGGUUGAGGUGACUGACAGUAUAAAUGUUAAUGCUGGGUGUGAGCAGAAAACUUUGAGAAACCAAAGAACAAAAGAAAAAAGGAAAUAUGGCCUGCGGGCAAGUAGAACAGGACUUUCUUCAGGAACAAGAACAGCUUUCUUGUCUGGCAAGGAACAGCUGCUGCUGUAGAACAGAGGUCAAGGAAAGGUAUGGACAAACACCAAGUCCGGUAUAUCAGAAAACUCCACUAAAUAAAAAAUAAAAAAAAUAAAAAAAAACCCUCAAAAAACAAAACCGACCUACCAACCAAAAAAACACCCUUAAAAUGAACCAAGCAUUGUCAGCCUUAGAUGGCAUCUUAAUGUUUAGUAACAGACACUAGUGUAUCCAAAUAUAAGCUAAACCCCAUGAUGUUUCAUUUUAUGUUGAUGACUAGGAACACACUGUGAAAUUAGUUUUGUACUUUCUCUAAUUUUUUUUUCCACUUGACAGUUGGAUUCUCUGAAAGGCAGGCCACUUUAAUAAAAGAAAGACCAUCAAAUUAUAAAUACGUAUAACAGUUCAGCUACUGCUGUAAUUUAAAGAGUAGUUGUCUCUAUUGCCAAACAUAAGCAAGUUUUCUGCAUGGGAGGAAUACUUCUAACUUUCCAAAGAAAACUACUACGAUGAUACAGCAAUUCUGAUUUUUAAAUUCUGUGUGCAGCCCUCCAAGCACCUUUUUAAAAAAUGGCUUGUUAAAUUCAUUAUAGAAAAGUAGGAAUUAAACUGAUUUUACCAGGAAAUUAAGCAAAAUUGCACAAGUCCAGGUACUUUGUUUCCUCCUUCUGCAGUCCCUGCAAAGCUUAAACCUAUUUCCUAUGAUUUCAUUGCAAUUCUAAAAAACAAAUACAUAUUACAGAAAGAGAAGCCAUCCCUCAAUUCUCCAAUUCCAUUGCUAAAAAAUUAUUAUAUAUGAAACGGUGAUUGUAAUGGUCAAUAAACCAUUUACUGUUUAAGAUGACUGAUGUUAUAAACUGAACGUACUACUUCUGAAGUACAUAGUUCUUUUUACUGAUAUAAUUAGAUGUUUGAAACUUCCACAGAUAAUUUUAUUUAUAGAAAAUAAAACCAGUUCAAGUUUCCACCAGUACCAGAAGUUAGAGAGCUGAUGUGAUCACUGAGAAAAAUUAAAAUAUUAUUAGUUAAAAAUCUCAGAAACACACAUAUAAAUCUGGUGAAAGAAUGAUCCAGUAAAGAAACCUACAUUUCAUCCUAAGAAUUCAGUAACUGCUCAACUACAUCAGUGUUGCUAAACUUUCAGGUCUACUGCCACAAAUAUCUGAUUUAGUUAAUGUUAAUAUCCACAUAGUAUAUGGUUGGCACCAGGCGAAGUCAUAUAAAUACCAGCAAUAUUCAAAAGCUUACAGUGCCAUAAUGUGGUUUCACUAGCUUCAUUCUUAUUUCUACAUUUUAAAUACACAAACCCACUAACCAGUUAUGUCAUUGCUGCACAGGAACUGAGGUCAUAAAUGAAGAAUACACUUAAGUAAAAGGCACAGGUCAGAAUCCUAGUCCAGGGAUGAGGAUGUAAUGUUCUCUCUCUGCUAGGGGUAUGGGUAUAACUUCAGAGGCCAUUUGAUCACCAUUGAAGGAGUUCACUUGCCUUGUUUACUGGUUUAGUGCCCUACUGAGUUUUUCAAACUAUGCAUCCUGAACGCAUAGUAUCCCAAACUCUCAGCUGGCAGCAGCAUUCAGCAGCACUUCAAUGCUCCGCUUGCUUCCAACUGAACAGUAAUUCACUUACUCAAGAGAGGAAUCAAAGAGCUGGCCAAAAACAGGGAUAAUCAUACAGUUUAGGAAGGCAGACUAGCCAGGGAUGGGUAGCUGGCAGAGAGAUUAUAAAGACUUCUACUUACUGGUAAUAUCUGGUCUGUAUUCCCCUGUCCCAGAGGAACUUAACACUUGUCCUAAAAUCACAUGACACAGAAGCCAGCAGCUGUCACUAUUAAAAACAGGUAGUCCAGGGAACAGUUAUAGAAGUUAUUAAACCAUGGGGCAAAUCCGCUGGCUGUUGCUGCAGAAAUCACUCCAAGCCUUCACAAAAAAACACCUAACCCUUCACUGCCACAAUUACUUCUAGAACCAUCAAUACUCACUGCCUGUCUCUAGACUGAAAUGCUGUCACUUGAGUGACAUUCACCAUUUUUUCCAGAGCUAGAUGUCACAUUUUGACAUCAAUUUAAAUUUUAUUGACAAUGCCAGGUUUACAGCCCUAAAACUGAAAGGGGGCAGUGUUACUUAACCAGAAAGUGGUGCUGUCUGUCACUGUUAAUUACAGCUCUCCUGCUGGGGGUUUUACAAGAAAGUAGGCCAGCAGGAAGCGUCAUUAUAUUACAGCCUGUAGCUCCAUGCAUGUGCUCCUAACUUGACAGUCAAGAGAUGUCCUUUAGCCUUUUUCACUGUGCUCUUCAAUAGGAAAACCAAACUGCUCAGAUUGCAU
Molecule: long non-coding RNA, 6709 nt
Organism: Taeniopygia guttata (zebra finch)
Lineage: Eukaryota; Metazoa; Chordata; Aves; Passeriformes; Estrildidae
Source: Ensembl